This 492-nucleotide ribosomal RNA is filed under the name uncultured bacterium. RNAcentral's name for it is "partial 16S ribosomal RNA". It matches the Rfam family "Bacterial small subunit ribosomal RNA", at positions 29 to 507 of the family's 1533-position model. The record is from RNAcentral.
AGUGAACGCUGGCGGUAGGCCUAACACAUGCCAGUCGAACGGCAGCACAGUAAGAGCUUGCUCUUACGGGUGGCGAGUGGCGGACGGGUGAGGAAUACAUCGGAAUCUACUUUUUCGUGGGGGAUAACGUAGGGAAACUUACGCUAAUACCGCAUACUACCUACGGGUGAAAGCAGGGGAUCUUCGGACCUUGCGCGAUUGAAUGAGCCGAUGUCGGAUUAGCUAGUUGGGGGGGUAAACGCCCACCAAGGCGACGAUCCGUAGCUGGUCUGAGAGGAUGAUCAGCCACACUGGAACUGAGACACGGUCCAGACUCCUACGGGAGGCAGCAGUGGGGAAUAUUGGACAAUGGGCGCAAGCCUGAUCCAGCCAUACCGCGUGGGUGAAGAAGGCCUUCGGGUUGUAAAGCCCUUUUGUUGGGAAAGAAAAGCAGCAGGUUAAUACCCCGCUGUUCUGACGGUACCCAAAGAAUAAGCACCGGCUAACUUCGUG